This 252-nucleotide long non-coding RNA is filed under the name Elaeis guineensis (African oil palm). RNAcentral describes it as "long non-coding RNA (EGUI_LNC078965)". The record is from RNAcentral. Lineage: Eukaryota; Viridiplantae; Streptophyta; Magnoliopsida; Arecales; Arecaceae.
CUGCUUUCGCCUUCCUUCUUUGGAAAGUCCAUCCGAGUCUUGUGUUUCCUUUUGCCUUGCUCUCGCUUCUUUUGAAAUCCUUUCCUCUUCUUCUUCUCUGUCUUUUCCUUCUUCUUGGUUCUGGUAUCAUGGCCAGGACUUCUCCUCGGGAGGCUCGAUCGGGGGACCCGACCGAUGAUCUUCGGUCGACCCCGGAAGUGGAGGCUUCCUCACUUUCGGGGCCGAAUGUCGAUCGGCUUCGGGAUCAGUAUU